This 1552-nucleotide ribosomal RNA is filed under the name Enterobacter hormaechei. RNAcentral's name for it is "bacterial SSU rRNA". It matches the Rfam family "Bacterial small subunit ribosomal RNA". Lineage: Bacteria; Pseudomonadati; Pseudomonadota; Gammaproteobacteria; Enterobacterales; Enterobacteriaceae. The record is from RNAcentral.
AAAUUGAAGAGUUUGAUCAUGGCUCAGAUUGAACGCUGGCGGCAGGCCUAACACAUGCAAGUCGAACGGUAACAGGAAGCAGCUUGCUGCUUCGCUGACGAGUGGCGGACGGGUGAGUAAUGUCUGGGAAACUGCCUGAUGGAGGGGGAUAACUACUGGAAACGGUAGCUAAUACCGCAUAACGUCGCAAGACCAAAGAGGGGGACCUUCGGGCCUCUUGCCAUCGGAUGUGCCCAGAUGGGAUUAGCUAGUAGGUGGGGUAACGGCCCACCUAGGCGACGAUCCCUAGCUGGUCUGAGAGGAUGACCAGCCACACUGGAACUGAGACACGGUCCAGACUCCUACGGGAGGCAGCAGUGGGGAAUAUUGCACAAUGGGCGCAAGCCUGAUGCAGCCAUGCCGCGUGUAUGAAGAAGGCCUUCGGGUUGUAAAGUACUUUCAGCGGGGAGGAAGGCGAUAAGGUUAAUAACCUUGUCGAUUGACGUUACCCGCAGAAGAAGCACCGGCUAACUCCGUGCCAGCAGCCGCGGUAAUACGGAGGGUGCAAGCGUUAAUCGGAAUUACUGGGCGUAAAGCGCACGCAGGCGGUCUGUCAAGUCGGAUGUGAAAUCCCCGGGCUCAACCUGGGAACUGCAUUCGAAACUGGCAGGCUAGAGUCUUGUAGAGGGGGGUAGAAUUCCAGGUGUAGCGGUGAAAUGCGUAGAGAUCUGGAGGAAUACCGGUGGCGAAGGCGGCCCCCUGGACAAAGACUGACGCUCAGGUGCGAAAGCGUGGGGAGCAAACAGGAUUAGAUACCCUGGUAGUCCACGCCGUAAACGAUGUCGACUUGGAGGUUGUGCCCUUGAGGCGUGGCUUCCGGAGCUAACGCGUUAAGUCGACCGCCUGGGGAGUACGGCCGCAAGGUUAAAACUCAAAUGAAUUGACGGGGGCCCGCACAAGCGGUGGAGCAUGUGGUUUAAUUCGAUGCAACGCGAAGAACCUUACCUACUCUUGACAUCCAGAGAACUUUCCAGAGAUGGAUUGGUGCCUUCGGGAACUCUGAGACAGGUGCUGCAUGGCUGUCGUCAGCUCGUGUUGUGAAAUGUUGGGUUAAGUCCCGCAACGAGCGCAACCCUUAUCCUUUGUUGCCAGCGGUCCGGCCGGGAACUCAAAGGAGACUGCCAGUGAUAAACUGGAGGAAGGUGGGGAUGACGUCAAGUCAUCAUGGCCCUUACGAGUAGGGCUACACACGUGCUACAAUGGCGCAUACAAAGAGAAGCGACCUCGCGAGAGCAAGCGGACCUCAUAAAGUGCGUCGUAGUCCGGAUUGGAGUCUGCAACUCGACUCCAUGAAGUCGGAAUCGCUAGUAAUCGUGGAUCAGAAUGCCACGGUGAAUACGUUCCCGGGCCUUGUACACACCGCCCGUCACACCAUGGGAGUGGGUUGCAAAAGAAGUAGGUAGCUUAACCUUCGGGAGGGCGCUUACCACUUUGUGAUUCAUGACUGGGGUGAAGUCGUAACAAGGUAACCGUAGGGGAACCUGCGGUUGGAUCACCUCCUUACCUUAAAGAA